Long non-coding RNA from Oxyura jamaicensis (ruddy duck), 5042 nucleotides. RefSeq lists it as uncharacterized. The record is from RefSeq and is a predicted model, not a curated record. NCBI's taxonomy places the organism in Eukaryota, Metazoa, Chordata, Aves, Anseriformes, Anatidae. The transcript has 3 exons.
AAAAAAAAAAAAAAGUUUUUGUUACAUUUUUUUUCUCUAAAGAAAAUUCAUGCUUUAAAUAAAAUCCAAAGACAUACCCUUUCACCACUGGUGCAGAAUGAGCAAAAAGGAUUCUUUUUACUUGAGAAUUUGUUUCUGAUUUAAACAAACAAGUCUAAGUUUAAAUAAAGAAUAAAAAAAGUACCCAGGUUGUUAUCUGUGCUUCUUCUGCAAGCAGAGAGACAACUCUUUACGAAAAUCCAGCAUACCAAAAGGCAGGUUUCAAUUUUGAAGUUGUGUCCCUGUGCUAGGCAGCCUGAGCAGUGAGCUCCCAGAGACGCAGAUAGCGAUGCACAGAAAGAGGCUCUAUGUGAGGCAUUUGUGCUUACGUUGAUCUCUGUGCUCCUGUUUGUGGAAAACACGCCGACAUACACGCACACACGCACGCACACACUCACACAUCUUUUGUGGUCUGGACUUUGAAAGGAAAACUUUGUGCUGCUAAAAUGUAGAUUCUGGAGACAAAUAGAUGCUUGCUUUCACUUCCGUAGCCAAAUGUCAACAGAAACGGUCUCCUUUCCCCCGUUUCCUCUUCCCCGAAAGUGUGAGAGCCUUCUCCCUGUCAUCCUCAUCCUCCUCCUGCUUCAAAGGGAACUUCGAAGACUGUGAACGCAGGUUCCUCCCGCCGCCUUCGGGCUUCUCCUCCCAAGGCUGAAGCCGCUCAUCGACUCUGCAAGAGACUGGAGCAUCCUGAGAGACGAACGUGGGUUUCAUUUUUUAGCGGGACUCUUUUAUUUUUACAGAUUUUUGGUUUUAGUUUGAUGAAAGACUAGAUCCUGAACUGUUGUACAUAUUUCUAACUAGGCUAAUGCACAGUGCAAAUUCCUUUUUUAAUUGUUUUUUAAGUAGACGAUACUAAAGAGAGUACCAUCUAAUAUUCCUACCAGUAUCCAGUUGUAGCAUAAGGUGUCAAAAAUGAAAACAAGUACACAAAAUGUGUUUGCUGUUUUAACAAACUGUUUUCUUUUAACGAAAGUUCUUGUAUUUCUCCCCGUGUUUGAGAUGAACAUUUUUUAAAUUCUAAAGUUGUACAGUUUUGUUUUUCCAUUAUUUUAUCUUGUUUGUAAUUCUAUGAAAUAUAUAUAUAUAUAUUUUUUGCCAUUUAACUGUUGUAUGUUACUCUGUCUGUAUCAUAUAGAAAUUUUUUGUUUGUUCUGUUUUUUGAUUAUGUGAUACAAGUUAACAAUUUAACACUAGCUUUAUCUGUCAAAUUCUGCGAGGUCUCUUUUUGAAAUCCUUUUGUUGGUUUUGUUUUGUUUUUUUGUUUUUGUUUUUUGUUUUUUUAAUUAUAUUGCUUGGUCAUAGUGCAAUUUCCCUCUCCUUCUUCCCCCUCCUCCUUCCCACCCACUAAAAGGUUUUAUAAAUUCAUUUCCUUGUAUUUUUUGUAAAUGUUUCUAGAGACUUCCAGUGCGAGGUUGCCUCCUCCUCUCGCAGUCCCCGCGCUAUGGGGUGGGAUGGCCACGGGAUGCGGCCGCCCAAGGCCGACAGCUGGGACUGGAAGCCCCCUGCCCGGCAGCCCUAAGGGACCCCGUGUCCCAGCCCCGUGCCCGCAGAGCCACGGUGGGAGCAGGGUUGGCCCCACGGAGCCUUUUUGAGAUCUGCCCCAGGGCGAGCAUGCCCCUCGUAAGUGAAGGUCGGCAGGCCAGGGCCCAGGCAGAGCGGGGCAAGCGGGGCAUGAGGAAAAGAUUUUAAACUUAGCAUUGAGCGGGUUUCUGUUUUAUUUUUAAUAAAAAGCUUUUUUAAGUGGUGAAGAUGGCCAAAGUUUCAUACAACUGAGAAUAAAGUAAGGUGUAAGGCGAGUGUUGGGGCCACCUGUGCCCGCUGGGCAGGUGGGGUGGGAGCUGGCAAGGGAGGCACCGGCACGGCCAGCACACUCAGUGUUCGUGGAAAUAUAUUUUGCUUUAGAAAAAAAAAAAAAAAAAAACUUUUAAAUAGAAGCAGAAAUUGGGUUGAUUGGUUGGUUGGUUGGUUGGCUGGUUGGUUGGUUGGUUGGUUGGUUUAUUGGCGCUGAGAUACUGCCCACUGUGAAUCACAAAGUUUUGACUAUUUUUUUUGGUUUUAUUUCUGGGGGGCGAGUUUGGGUAGAACAGAAAGCAUAAAUGAGGUGAAGAGGGAUAUGAACAGCCUUUGCAAUGUACAAAAAAUAGAGCAAGUGAAACCAAAAAUGAUGUUCUUGGUGUUUUUCUAUGAUGUAGUCUUGUUAGCUUUUUUUGUUACUGUAACAAUGCUGAUCUCGAACUGUACCAAAAUACAUGGAGACUAACAGAAACAGAAACCACAUGGAACUUUCAAAACUUCAAAAAUAUUUGUCACAAAAGACUUUGUUGUCAUAGUUGAGUUGACUGUAGAUGGUAAUUGAAUAUACUCCUUUGGAAAUAUUUCAUCACGUAUGUUUCCUGCUCAUUGUGAUACAUUAAAAAAAAAAAAAGAAAAAAAAAAAAAAAAAAAAAAAAAGAGCAAAAGCUCUCGUCUCCAAUGUCCCCGCUUGUGCGGUGCAGGGUCUGCGUCGGGUGGGUGAGCGGCGCGCGGCACGGCGGGACUCAUGCGUCCACCUGAGGCCGCGCACCCACGCCGACGGGCGGGUGCUCGCACGGAGCCACGUGCGUGUGUGCACAAACCCUCGUGCCGCGCCGGCGCAUGCACAGGCACACGCACAUCCGCUUUCUUCCCGAAGCACCUGGGUGUCCGAGGACCCGCCAGUGUGGAAGUGCUUGGGCUGAUGCUAUGAAUUAAUGUGAACGUGGAAGUAAUGAGCCAAAUAGCACAAUUCAUAUUAUGGCUUUGGGAUGCAUUGUGUAUGAAAAAGACAUUAUAAGUGCAUUCAAUUUUACUAAAUGAUUGUGUAAGAAUUCUGGGCGUACUGCUGUAAUUAAUGGUUAAAGGCAAAGCAUGAUGCCCAUAGGAGUUGAGGUCCUCUUAAAACCUGUAAACUAGAAGCGAACUAGAAUCGCCAUGUCUUCUUCUACUGAUUAAACCAAAAGGAGACGAAGGUAAGAAAGAUGCGACUGCAGCAGGAAUGGGGUCACCAGCACUACUAUUCCACUGGUGUUUGCACUGUACUGCAUUAAUGACUUCAGUGUUGUACAGAGACCUGCAGUUUUAAUCGGUGCAUUACUUCCCUGGGCUGAUGUGGUGAGCUAAUCCAACGACAGCUGCACAGGCUCUCCCGGGGCAGCUCAGUGCCGAGGUGCUGCCACCAUCCCUGGCCGAGGACGUGGCUCCCCACCAGGCUGCACAGCACUGGCCCCAGUGGCUCGUCCCCGCUGUAUCCAUGCUUGGUCCCUGGUGGGACAAGGCUGCCCGCCCCUACCACCAGUGGGGCACGGGCGCAGAGCAGAAACUACAGGCAAAGCCUGAGGUGGGGGCACCCAGCUGUGCCCCUGUCUCUGCUGGCCGCAGGCAGAUGCAGCCCCCCCGAGGGAGCCCAAGCUGCGGAGGAGCUGCUGCCGGCAGAGCUCCAGCUCUCCCGCGGCCUCUGCGGUGAUGGAAGAGAGACUUCACACUGCGCCCCAGAGAAAAGAUAGCGGUACCUAUAAAUGGUAUUGUGCUGUUGGUUAGAUGGUAGCAUGAUGUUACUUAAUUAAUGUUUUAAUACCCUAGGCAUCUUCUGUGCCGUAUAAUUCAUAUCGAUUCAGCUGUGAGCAUGUUCAGUUAAAAAGACUCUCUUUCCUAAGCAAACUUUCAAUUAUAUUGAAUUGUCACAGCAAAAAAGGGCCUUUUCUCAGCAUGGGGGAAGGGAUUCACUACCAUACUGCUGCCGGCCUGGCCAGGCACACAUGUGCCCAAGCCUACACAGUCAUGCACACAGCGCACACCUCCCCAGCCCCCUGAGCCACUGGUGCCAACUCCAGCACUGCAACACUGCCAGGCGUCACCAUACCCAGUCAGCCGUGGCAGUGGGGUUCCCUCCAGCCUGAGUCCAGGAAAGCAGCCUGUCCUCUCCAGCUGCUGCUGGGCCCUGGGGAGGUCGGUCUUAGCCCUGUGCCAGAGCCUGCCACCAGCGUGGGUACGCACUCCUCUGUGUAUCCUCUUGAUACGCAGCCACCCCUGACAGUGCCAUGGAAGCAAAAUCACCAGCACCCAGCAAAGCAGUGCUUGGAGGUGCUGGCAUUUUUUUUUUUUUUUAAGGAUAUGUUUGCUUUCAGCAAUGGAAGAACAUCUGGUUAUUCUGGGAAGAGAAAAUGUCCCUGUGAGCAGAGAGACAUGGCACAUUGACUCAGCCACGUGUGUCUUGGCAGCUUUGUCACCAGCCACAGUCACAGCCCUUGCCUGCCAGCCCUGCUGAGCUCAUCGUGACCAGGAUGUUGGGGGGGACAUGCAGGCUGCUCCCAAAACAAGCCGUCCUUCUACUGGGGAGCUUUAUUAAAGCCUUCUACCUGGUUUUGUAAGUAACAAGGAAAAUACAAAAAUUCUGUAUUUUCAUUACUCCUUAUUUUGACAGUCCACUGAACAAAAACACAAAGCGCAUCUCCUGCUGCCCCUUGCUCCCUGGCUCUGCCUCUUUCUCCCAUGGAGUUCAAAUUAAAGAAGGCGAAAAUUGAAGCUGUUGUACGCAAGGCGAUUGCAACAUGCAUAUUUGAUUUUUAUGAUGGAUCUAAAUUGCUGAAUAAGGCCGUGGAACAAAGGGAGACUGCGGCUUCCUGCCCAUCACAGACAGGCAGCCACUGCAGAACAAAAGCGCCAGCCAUUAGGGGCUCAGCAGGGAGACACAUUAUAUAAAUGACUUUGUUUCUCUGCCCCUUCCCCCCCACGGGGUGCUCCGAUUGGAGCUGGGGGGCUCCUGAUUUGCACAACCCGGGGAGAGCACGCGGCUGGUGCGGAGCUGCAGCCAUGACCCAGUGUGCUGCAGGGGGCCCAGCGCCCGCAGCCGCCCCCGCCCCGGGUGAGCCAGCCGUGGCCAUGUCCUGCCUUCCCUCUCCUCUUGCAGUGUGCUGCAACGUCCACGUCCCUCCUGCUGCCAGGGCCAUAGGUGCCAGUGCUGGCAUCCCCAGGGCCACGCAGUG